UAAGGAAUAUUGGUCAAUGGAGGCAACUCUGAACCAGCCAUGCCGCGUGGAGGAUGAAGGCCCUCUGGGUUGUAAACUUCUUUUAUAAGGGAAGAAAUGCAGACAUUCUUGUUUGUUUGACGGUACCUUAGGAAUAAGCACCGGCUAACUCCGUGCCAGCAGCCGCGGUAAUACGGAGGGUGCAAGCGUUAUCCGGAUUCACUGGGUUUAAAGGGUGCGUAGGCGGGCAGGUAAGUCAGUGGUGAAAUCUUCGAGCUUAACUCGGAAACUGCCGUUGAUACUAUCUGUCUUGAAUACUCGGGAGGUGAGCGGAAUAUGUCAUGUAGCGGUGAAAUGCUUAGAUAUGACAUAGAACACCAAUUGCGAAGGCAGCUCACUACAGAGUCAUUGACGCUGAGGCACGAAAGCGUGGGGAUCAAACAGG
RNAcentral lists this ribosomal RNA (424 nucleotides) under uncultured bacterium. RNAcentral describes it as "bacterial SSU rRNA". It matches the Rfam family "Bacterial small subunit ribosomal RNA", at positions 355 to 776 of the family's 1533-position model. The record is from RNAcentral.